RNAcentral lists this transfer RNA (89 nucleotides) under Tolypothrix sp. PCC 7601. Its description in RNAcentral is "tRNA-OTHER". The record is from RNAcentral. Lineage: Bacteria; Bacillati; Cyanobacteriota; Cyanophyceae; Nostocales; Tolypothrichaceae. RNAcentral also lists the same sequence under 2 other names.
AAGAUUGUGAGCUAGGCUGGAAGUCUUGGAAAAUCGAGGUUAAUGUCACCUUCCCAAUGUGAAAGUCGUGGGUUCGAGUCCCAUCAGUU